AUCGAGUUGUCAGACUAAUGAGUUAAAUUUAGGGUUUAAUUAUGCUUAUGCACUUGAUU
Molecule: transfer RNA, 59 nt
Filed under: Moniliformis sp. XH-2020
Lineage: Eukaryota; Metazoa; Acanthocephala; Archiacanthocephala; Moniliformida; Moniliformidae
Description: tRNA-Leu
Source: RNAcentral